AAACAUGUCUUUUUGAGUUAAAUUUAAAGUCUGACCUGCCCACUGAAUAAUUUUAAAUGGCCGCAGUAUUUUGACUGUGCAAAGGUAGCAUAAUCAUUAGUCUUUUAAUUGAAGGCUGGUAUGAAUGGUUGGACGAAGUAUAAUCUGUUUCAUAUGAAUUUAUAAUAGAAUUUUAUUUUUUAGUAAAAAAGCUAAAAUUUUAUUGAAAGACGAGAAGACCCUAUAAAUCUUUAUAUUUAAUAUUAUUUUAAUUUUUUGGGUUUAUUUUAUUUUUAUAAUAUUGAAUAUUUUGUUGGGGUGAUAUUAAAAUUAAAUGAACUUUUAAUUAUUUAAGAUCAUUUAUUUAUGAAUUGUUGAUCCAAUACUAUUGAUUAUAAGAUUAAGUUACUUUAGGGAUAACAGCGUAAUUUUUUUUGAGAGUUCAUAUCGACAGAAAAGUUUGCGACCUCGAUGUUGGAUUAAGGUAUAAUUUUGGGUGUAGCUGUUCAAAUAUUAAGUCUGUUCGACUUUUAAAUCCUUACAUGAUC
RNAcentral lists this ribosomal RNA (527 nucleotides) under Anastrepha melanoptera. Its description in RNAcentral is "partial small subunit ribosomal RNA". It matches the Rfam family "Bacterial large subunit ribosomal RNA", at positions 1813 to 2605 of the family's 2925-position model. Lineage: Eukaryota; Metazoa; Arthropoda; Insecta; Diptera; Tephritidae. The record is from RNAcentral.